This 240-nucleotide ribosomal RNA is filed under the name uncultured bacterium. RNAcentral's name for it is "partial 16S ribosomal RNA". It matches the Rfam family "Bacterial small subunit ribosomal RNA", at positions 28 to 269 of the family's 1533-position model. The record is from RNAcentral.
GACGAACGCUGGCGGCGUGCUUAACACAUGCAAGUCGAGCGGUAAGGCCCUUUCGGGGGUACACGAGCGGCGAACGGGUGAGUAACACGUGGGUGACCUGCCCUCAGCUCUGGGAUAAGCCUGGGAAACCGGGUCUAAUACUGGAUAUGACUCCAUGACGCAUGUUGUGGGGUGGAAAGCCUUGUGCGGCUGAGGAUGGGCCCGCGGCCUAUCAGCUUGUUGGUGGGGUGANGGCCUACC